AACGCUGGCGGCAUGCCUUACACAUGCAAGUCGAACGGCAGCACGGGGGCAACCNUGGUGGCGAGUGGCGAACGGGUGAGUAAUACAUCGGAACGUGCCCUGUAGUGGGGGAUAACUAGUCGAAAGAUUAGCUAAUACCGCAUACGACCUGAGGGUGAAAGCGGGGGACCGUAAGGCCUCGCGCUACAGGAGCGGCCGAUGUCUGAUUAGCUAGUUGGUGGGGUAAAAGCCUACCAAGGCGACGAUCAGUAGCUGGUCUGAGAGGACGAUCAGCCACACUGGGACUGAGACACGGCCCAGACUCCUACGGGAGGCAGCAGUGGGGAAUUUUGGACAAUGGGGGCAACCCUGAUCCAGCAAUGCCGCGUGUGUGAAGAAGGCCUUCGGGUUGUAAAGCACUUUUGUCCGGAAAGAAAUGGCUCUGGUUAAUACCUGGGGUCNAUGANNGUACCGGAANAAUA
This 461-nucleotide ribosomal RNA is filed under the name Cupriavidus sp. N18. Its description in RNAcentral is "bacterial SSU rRNA". It matches the Rfam family "Bacterial small subunit ribosomal RNA", at positions 32 to 488 of the family's 1533-position model. Lineage: Bacteria; Pseudomonadati; Pseudomonadota; Betaproteobacteria; Burkholderiales; Burkholderiaceae. The record is from RNAcentral.